This 253-nucleotide ribosomal RNA is filed under the name uncultured bacterium. Its description in RNAcentral is "partial 16S ribosomal RNA". It matches the Rfam family "Bacterial small subunit ribosomal RNA", at positions 524 to 776 of the family's 1533-position model. The record is from RNAcentral.
UACGUAGGGGGCAAGCGUUGUCCGGAUUUAUUGGGCGUAAAGAGCGUGUAGGCGGUUUGGUAGGUCCGCUGUGAAAACUCGAGGCUCAACCUCGAGACGCCGGUGGAAACCAUCAGACUAGAGUCCGGAAGAGGAGAGUGGAAUUCCUGGUGUAGCGGUGAAAUGCGCAGAUAUCGGGAGGAACACCUGUGGCGAAGGCGGCUUUCUGGGCCUUACCUGACGCUGAGACGCGAAAGCGUGGGGAGCGAACCGG